CUGGGAAGUGUGUAUGGAGUGGGAAGACAAGACCUCAGACAGCACCUACAGGAAGUCCACAUAUACAAGAGCCAUGCAGGCAGGGAAGCAGGGGAAGGAGACAGAGAAAGUGCCAAGAUGGCGCUGAAUUUCAUGCUCUACUACGUUCCCCCCAUGCCCAGGGCUCCCCUGAUUUGCUCCUCAGCCCACCGAAACCCAUCACCCUCCAGAGGGUUCUAUACGAGGAGGAGGGUCUCGAGGACGUGCAUGGGAAGAAGAAUGUGCCGGCCAGGCCCACGGGACAAGGACAUCUGUCUGACUGCUUCACUCAUUUCUGCACACGACCUCACGGAGGCCUCAAUUGGAUCAGGCAAUUAGUAUAGUCAGGAUCAAAUGCGGCCCAAUUUAAUUCAAUUACUCUUCGCCGCAGCAGAAAAUGUGGUUAUUAUAGUGAUGGGACCUGUGUGAGGAAUACAGGCUCCUGGCCAGCGACCAGCCUGGGUGCUGCUGAGCGGUGAGGACCUGCGAAGGCACAGAUGAGGAUGAUCGGAGGGGAUGGGGCAGAACCGUGCCCUGCCCCAGAGCAUCAGAUGGGGGGCUGAGGUCUGGCCACAAUCACCCAGCAGCACCUGUCGGACGGAACCCCAUGGAUAAUGGGGGCAUUGCUCUCCCCUUGGCUUGGAAUCAAGACACGGAAAAGCCAGGUUUAACUCUUCCCUGAGAACUAUGAAUUAUUUACGGGAUCCCGAGGACAAAAGGAUGAAGUCUGGGUGACAGCAGCCAGAAGAGAGGGAGUUAUUUUCCAAAAUUACCAUUUUUUUAAAUAAUUUUUUAUUUUUUAUAAACAUAUAUUUUUAUCCCCAGGGGUACAGCAAUGUCCACAAUAGCCAAACUAUGGAAAGAAUCCAAAAUUACCAUUUUAAGGGACAUUUCUUAUUUAUCCUUCUUAAGUCUUUAUGACAAAUUUGACAACGA
RNAcentral lists this long non-coding RNA (954 nucleotides) under Mustela putorius furo (domestic ferret). RNAcentral describes it as "lncRNA (ENSMPUG00000024555.1)". Lineage: Eukaryota; Metazoa; Chordata; Mammalia; Carnivora; Mustelidae. The record is from RNAcentral.